Molecule: non-coding RNA, 25 nt
Filed under: Mus musculus (house mouse)
Lineage: Eukaryota; Metazoa; Chordata; Mammalia; Rodentia; Muridae
Source: RNAcentral
UGUCAAAAUGUCUGACGUGCCUGGA